This 473-nucleotide ribosomal RNA is filed under the name uncultured bacterium. RNAcentral describes it as "bacterial SSU rRNA". It matches the Rfam family "Bacterial small subunit ribosomal RNA", at positions 335 to 802 of the family's 1533-position model. The record is from RNAcentral.
ACUCCUACGGGAGGCAGCAGUAGGGAAUCUUCCACAAUGGACGAAAGUCUGAUGGAGCAACGCCGCGUGAGUGAAGAAGGGUUUCGGCUCGUAAAACUCUGUUGUUAAAGAAGAACAUAUCUGAGAGUAACUGUUCAGGUAUUGACGGUAUUUAACCAGAAAGCCACGGCUAACUACGUGCCAGCAGCCGCGGUAAUACGUAGGUGGCAAGCGUUGUCCGGAUUUAUUGGGCGUAAAGCGAGCGCAGGCGGUUUUUAAGUCUGAUGUGAAAGCCUUCGGCUCAACCGAAGAAGUGCAUCGGAAACUGGGAAACUUGAGUGCAGAAGAGGACAGUGGAACUCCAUGUGUAGCGGUGAAAUGCGUAGAUAUAUAGAAGAACACCAGUGGCGAAGGCGGCUGUCUGGUCUGUAACUGACGCUGAGGCUCGAAAGUAUGGGUAGCAAACAGGAUUAGAUACCCCUGGUAGGAUAGCG